AAAACUUUCAACAACGGAUCUCUUGGCUCUGGCAUCGAUGAAGAACGCAGCGAAAUGCGAUAAGUAAUGUGAAUUGCAGAAUUCAGUGAAUCAUCGAAUCUUUGAACGCACAUUGCGCCCGCCAGUAUUCUGGCGGGCAUGCCUGUUCGAGCGUCAUUACAACCCUCAGGCCCCCGGGCCUGGCGUUGGGGAUCGGCGGAAGCCCCCUGCGGGCACAACGCCGUCCCCCAAAUACAGUGGCGGUCCCGCCGCAGCUUCCAUUGCGUAGCAGCUAACACCUCGCAACUGGAGAGCGGCGCGGCCACGCCGUAAAACACCCAACUUCUGAAUGUUGACCUCGAAUCAGGUAGGAAUACCCGCUGAACUUAAGCAUAUCAAUAAGCGGAGGAAAAGAAACCAACAGGGAUUGCCCCAGUAACGGCGAGUGAAGCGGCAACAGCUCAAAUUUGAAAUCUGGCUCUCGGGCCCGAGUUGUAAUUUGUAGAGGAUGCUUUUGGUGAGGUGCCUUCCGAGUUCCCUGGAACGGGACGCCAUAGAGGGUGAGAGCCCCGUCUGGUUGGACACCGAUCCUCUGUAAAGCUCCUUCGACGAGUCGAGUAGUUUGGGAAUGCUGCUCUAAAUGGGAGGUAUAUGUCUUCUAAAGCUAAAUACCGGCCAGAGACCGAUAGCGCACAAGUAGAGUGAUCGAAAGAUGAAAAGAACUUUGAAAAGAGAGUUAAAAAGUACGUGAAAUUGUUGAAAGGGAAGCGCUUGUGACCAGACUUGGGCUUGGUUGAUCAUCCGGGGUUCUCCCCGGUGCACUCUUCCGGCUCAGGCCAGCAUCAGUUCGCCCUGGGGGAUAAAGGCUUCGGGAAUGUGGCUCUCUCCGGGGAGUGUUAUAGCCCGCUGCGUAAUACCCUGUGGCGGACUGAGGUUCGCGCAUUCGCAAGGAUGCUGGCGUAAUGGUCAUCAGUGACCCGUCUUGAAACACGGACC
Molecule: ribosomal RNA, 975 nt
Filed under: uncultured Hypocreales
Lineage: Eukaryota; Fungi; Ascomycota; Sordariomycetes; Hypocreales
Description: eukaryotic LSU rRNA
Rfam family: Eukaryotic large subunit ribosomal RNA (bases 333-975)
Source: RNAcentral